RNAcentral lists this small RNA (487 nucleotides) under Arabidopsis thaliana (thale cress). Its description in RNAcentral is "ATSL201330". Lineage: Eukaryota; Viridiplantae; Streptophyta; Magnoliopsida; Brassicales; Brassicaceae. The record is from RNAcentral.
AAUAGAAGUCCUAAGGAUGGAUUCAUUGAUAAGAGCAACUCUAGGAUUCAUCAGGUGGCUAACAGGUGAAAGGAAGAUACCCUAGACGAUAGAUUCAGAAACCGGGUCAAUCCACUCUCAUGACAGAGACCCCCAUAACUCUACCACUUCCUAAUCUCAACUCUCGUUGAUGAAACAUAGCAGAGCAUGGUUUAAGCAACAAUCUACCAAAGUCAAUAAGCAGUCUAGCCAAUCUCUUGGUCUAGAGUCUACAAAUCUCUAGAAUUCGUAGAUCAGGCAUCCAUUUGAACGUCAUUUGGACGCUGGAUACCUAUGGUCGAAUUUCCACAUUAGCGAGCAAAAACCGCAUAGGAGCCAACAAAUCCAGAAGGGAUCUAAUCUAAUCUUAACCACCUGACUAACCUAGAGAUUACCCUAAUCUAAUCCAUCCUCAAAAACCCUAAUCACUACUCAAGCAACAUAACUAAGAACACAAACCCAAAAAUUC